ACUAAUUAGUUUCACUAAAAUAGAAAGGCUAAAUAAUAAUUUAGCUUGCAUUAACUAACAGAAAAAUUGACACAGGGACUAAAGAGUUUAACAGAAGCCAAAUACAGCGACCAAGUAGUUAAUUUCAUUAAAAUACAUGGUUAAAUAGUAAUUUCCCAUACCAAUAUUAACCAUUGGACUCAAUAGUACCAAUUACCAAAUAAAAAAAUUUUAAAAUUCAAUAGCAAACAAUUUCACUUGAACCAUUCAAUAAAAUAAAUGACUAUGUAAAGUCAGAAAUGAAAAUGGGUUAUUUAUCAAAUUAGACAAGUUCAACCAAUACAACUAUUCAACAUUUAGGAAUUAGGAGAAACAUAACACAUUAUGUCACGACCCAACCUAUGGGC
This 386-nucleotide unclassified non-coding RNA is filed under the name Hevea brasiliensis (rubber tree). Lineage: Eukaryota; Viridiplantae; Streptophyta; Magnoliopsida; Malpighiales; Euphorbiaceae. The record is from RNAcentral.